This 468-nucleotide ribosomal RNA is filed under the name uncultured bacterium. Its description in RNAcentral is "partial 16S ribosomal RNA". It matches the Rfam family "Bacterial small subunit ribosomal RNA", at positions 28 to 507 of the family's 1533-position model. The record is from RNAcentral.
GACGAACGCUGGCGGCGUGCUUAACGCAUGCAAGUCGAACGGAAAGGCCCUGCUUUUGUGGGGUGCUCGAGUGGCGAACGGGUGAGUAACACGUGAGUAACCUGCCCUUGACUUUGGGAUAACUUCAGGAAACUGGGGCUAAUACCGGAUAGGAGCUCCUGCUGCAUGGUGGGGGUUGGAAAGUUUCGGCGGUUGGGGAUGGACUCGCGGCUUAUCAGCUUGUUGGUGGGGUAGUGGCUUACCAAGGCUUUGACGGGUAGCCGGCCUGAGAGGGUGACCGGCCACAUUGGGACUGAGAUACGGCCCAGACUCCUACGGGAGGCAGCAGUGGGGAAUAUUGCACAAUGGGCGGAAGCCUGAUGCAGCAACGCCGCGUGCGGGAUGACGGCCUUCGGGUUGUGAACCGCUUUCGCCUGUGACGAAGCGUGAGUGACGGUAAUGGGUAAAGAAGCACCGGCUAACUACGUG